GGCCAGAUCAAGAUGAAACGCCGGAUCCCGUACGAUCACCAAAGUUAAGCGACGCCGAACCUGGUCAGUACAUAGAUGGGUGACUGCUUGGAAAUACCGGGUGCUGUAA
Molecule: non-coding RNA, 109 nt
Organism: Acanthosepion pharaonis
Lineage: Eukaryota; Metazoa; Mollusca; Cephalopoda; Sepiida; Sepiidae
Source: the annotation of a GenBank genome assembly